Molecule: small RNA, 84 nt
Filed under: Escherichia coli
Lineage: Bacteria; Pseudomonadati; Pseudomonadota; Gammaproteobacteria; Enterobacterales; Enterobacteriaceae
Description: partial RtT sRNA
Rfam family: RtT RNA
About the family: This family represents a bacterial cis-regulatory element known as RtT RNA. The exact function of RtT is unknown although it is thought that it may be involved in changing the cellular response in relation to amino acid starvation.
Source: RNAcentral
GAGUUGAGCGCAGCGAAACAACGGAGCCGCUCGCGGCGACGGCCCGAAGGGCGAGUGAAGCGAGUCAUCCUGCACGACCCACCA